AUUCCAGCUCCAAUAGCGUAUAUUAAUGUUGUUGCAGUUAAAAAGCUCGUAGUUGGAUUUCUGAUGGGAUCGACCCGGUCGGCUCCGAAAGGGGUCGCACUGGUGGUCUGUCCGGUCAUCCUCGAGGGGAGGCUUUCUGGCAUUCAUUUGUUGGGGAGUCGACGCUCGUCGUUUACUGUGAACAAAUUAGAGUGUUCAAAGCAGGCUUAGGCCGUUGAAUACAUUAGCAUGGAAUAAUAAGAUAGGACUUUGGUGGUUUAUUUUGUUGGUUUGCACGCCGAAGUAAUGAUUAACAGGGACAGUCAGGGGCACUCGUAUUCCGCCGAGAGAGGUGAAAUUCUCAGACCAGCGGAAGACGAACCACUGCGAAAGCAUUUGCCAGGGAUGUUUUCAUCG
Molecule: ribosomal RNA, 396 nt
Filed under: Dictyocha sp.
Lineage: Eukaryota; Dictyochophyceae; Dictyochales; Dictyochaceae
Description: partial small subunit ribosomal RNA
Rfam family: Eukaryotic small subunit ribosomal RNA
Source: RNAcentral